Molecule: ribosomal RNA, 336 nt
Filed under: Triticum aestivum (bread wheat)
Lineage: Eukaryota; Viridiplantae; Streptophyta; Magnoliopsida; Poales; Poaceae
Description: partial small subunit ribosomal RNA
Source: RNAcentral
AUGUGCAUGUCCAUCCUGCCACGCCGGAUCAACGCGGGGUCUAAGUUCUCCUUGUGGUUGGUCGUGAAGACAAUAAUUCGCUCGCCUCCGCAUGCGGACCAUAGACCGUCGAUGAAGUUGAGCACCCCGGACAGCGUCACCUUGGUCUCCUUGUCCUUGUCUUCAUCGUCGUCCUUCUUCUUCUUGCCCUUCUUACCGCGCUUGCCUGUGAGAUCGAUGGAGCAGUCGAUGUCCUCAAUGACGAUGAUCGACUUGCCUUCCGUGUCGAUGAAGAGCCUCUUCAGCUCGGUGUUGUUCUUGACCGUCAUCAGCUCAGGUCAUAGACGUCGUAGUUGA